GGACUACUUCCUUGAUUACAGGAACCUAAGUGACAGGGGACACUUCCAGCGGAAAGAAAGACUGGUGAAAAUUGCACCUUCCCUUGUGUGAUCAACUCUGCGAAGCUAAGGAAGCAGUCUGCUGAGAAAACACUUUGUCCCAGUGCACUGCUGCACAGUUAUUUGGAAUAUUGGCCAAGAUUCCCAUUUAGGCCAGAUAAGAUGAUAUAUCCGACAGUGAUUUUAGAGUUGCCAGUGCACAACAACUAGUCAGUCAAGAGAGACUGAAGCACUCCACUUCAAGUACGGAGGUAAGAUUUCAAAUUAAAAUGUCAAACUUUGAUGUUUCACCCCAUUUAGAAGUUUGGUGAAAAUCAUUUCAGUUCUACGGAAUUUAUUAUUUUUGAAUGGUAUCCCAACUUUGACCCAACUGGUGCUGAAGGCAAUUCAGAGUCAAACAGAGUUAAAAUGCUAUGUGAAAUAAAAUACUGAUUGUGCUACCUGAUCUCUAUAGGGAAAUGAGUUGAAAUACCACAUCCUCUCUGAGAUUGGAACCCUGAGAAGGUUGCAGACGGGGUGGGGCUUUCCUUACCUGACAUUAUCAGACUCCCUCCCCAAGUUAGCUGCUGUGAGUUCUGUAUACUUCAGAGGUCUCUUAUCUUCUAAAAAGAGAUACAUUUCCCACAACACUACAGACUCUACACUAAGCCCUACGCCAUUUGUCUAGAAAGCCUUCUACCAUCACAAAUCGAUGAUGGGGUCAAGUUAAGAAAUAGGAUAUAGAUUCUAUUCAAAUAGCUGCGUUUCCGAUACCACAUUAUGUGGUAUCAAGAUCAGACAGAGGCAACUGAAGUCCCAAUUAAUUCUCUUUAAAAUAAAAUAAGAGAAGCAAAGAAUUCCACUGUUAAAAACUACAACAUUAUUCCCAGCCCAAAUAAAUAAAUAAAUUCACGUGCAGAGCUCUUGCAUGGGUGUGUUUCACAAUUUACUUCAGUGAAAGGGAAACAUUUUCAGAUGUGCAAUGAUACAUGCAUGAAGAGCUUCCCCCUGAACUGAAGUGGCAUACUCAAUCCAAAACGGCUGGAUUGAGGUGUAUUCUCUUGUAAUCCUAAAUUAAACGUUUUCAGAUUCCAAAAACCCAGUUCCAAAGAAGGCAGAAAAAUACCCAUUUAUAGUUAUUUUGAGCACAAGACUGUGGGCGGCAAGGGUAUUGCUACUAAGGUGUCACAGAAUGUUAACCAAAAUACAGAACUGUUCAAGGAAUGACUCCAAGAGCAUGGUCUAGUCUCUGCAAACAGGGAGAUCAAUUUAGCUGGGGAAAACCCUCAGAGUCCUGCAGACAGAGAAAGGAAGAGCAAGGGGUGGGAAGCUGAGGUCUGGAAAUCUGAGUGGGAAGAGUCCCUGAGGGUCAGAAGCCUGAAAAUGUGCUGGCUGACAUACAGAGCAAGGAUGCACCGGUGAAGUGAGAGCAACUUCCCAAGAAACUGCACCAGUGCAUCAGGAAAGCAACAAUUUUUAAUGCCCUCUCCUUCAGGAAAUCCUCUGUGCCACCAGAAAAUAUGUCUCCGAGGAACACACAGAAUUCAGUGACUUGUUUUUGGGUGGCACAUAGAGCUUCCCGAGGAAGGACUGCAAAACUGCUGUUCCUUGCUGUACCGGUGCAGCUACUCUUCCUAACUGGGUGGAGGAAGGUUCUAUUCAUGACACACAAGCUUUUUAUUUCUGAACUUCAACCUGACAACUAAGAUCUUUCAGCCUCCUGCCUAACAUCAAGCAUGAUGAAAAGGUACCUUGUUUAUAUAUUUUGACAAUUACAUCAGUAGCAACUCAUCCUACGAACCAGGGGGGCACCAAAGGAAGCAGCUUGAGUUGCUCCUCUCUCCCACCCAAGAGCCAUGCUCCUUGCAGACCGGCCAGCCUGCUGGUGCGGCUCUCAGGUGGGGUGGGAGAGAGCAGACGAACCCAAGCCAACAUGAAGCAGAGGCAGCUGUGCAUUCUUUGGCACCCUCCAGUUCUUUAGGAUGAGCCACUACUGAAUUACAUAUUCCUCACCGAGAAGGAUGGGAGGGGUGAAGAGAGAAACAAAUGAUGGACAACUAGCUGGCUGGCAGGGUGGCUGCAGGAAACAGGAUAUAGCGGAAUGAAAAGCAGGGAUCUGAGGGAACAGAGGUGAUAAAGGCAUGGAGUCAGGGGCGGAGCCACUAUUGCACAAAGGGAUUCAAAGAACCCGAGCUGCUGCGCUUAGCGGCCCCACCUCAUGCCCCAGCCACAUCCCCUGCGUCUGGCAUUGUUUUCCUGUGUGGCUUCGUUUUUCAGAAGCUUAGCCAGCACUGGCUUCCCAGCCUGGCCGGGAACAUGUCUCCUUGCCUUUUAAAACAGGGAGAGCUGCUCCCAGCCACAAUGAGAACAUACGGCCCCAUUUGCGAGUGAAACCACACCCCCUGAAUCUGACGCCAGAUGCUGUGCCUCACCGAGGCUUAUAUCAGACACAGGGAGCGUGGCUAGGGGUGCCGCUGGCAGUGGGCUGAACUGGGGCUGCUGCUGGCCUCCCUACACCAUUGCAUGGAGUUGAAGAAAAAGAAGAGCUGAGGGGAGUGUGGAUAAAGCCAAAAUGCACAGGGUUAAGGGUCAGCGAGAGAGACAGCAGAGGAGCUUUAGAGCUUCAGGAAACCAAAAGGGCAAUGGGUCUGCAUUGCAUAAAACACAAAACCAGAAAUGCAAGUCUAUAUAUGCUCCCCCUGCUAACUGGAUAAAGAGGCACCUUUCAAAGUGGUGAUUCUCUUGCUUUCAGGGGGAAAGCAAUUAUCUUUAUUUAAUCUCAGCACAGCAUGCUUUCAGUGGUAAUUCCGGUUUCUACCUUGUAUUUCAUUUUAGACUGUGUGCCCUUUGAGGAGGCAGAACUGGCUUCGUGUUAUUCUUUUUCUAUGUAAACUACUUCGAGAAUUUUCCUGGCGAAAAGCAAAAUAAUAGAUAUCAAGUCUGAAACUAGCACAAUCCACUUAUUCCUUUUAAAGAGGGAAGGAAAGAACCAGCAUUCAGUCGUUGCAAUCCCUCCAGAACUGUUUUAAGCGUGGUGGGGAGCGGGGUGGAAAUUGGAAGACAGAAGUAGAGAUGUUGCCCAACAAGGAAAGCAAAUUUAGAAGACUGUACUAAUUGUGUUAUUUUGCAAUGAAGCCUCCCCAAACUGGCUAUUAGCUAGUUUUAGUAGCAUUCAUACUCCUAUUCAGAGCAAUGUUCCAGAAUACUUAGCUGAUCUGUCAAGUGCUUGCAUUACUGAAGCUUAGCGUGGCUUCGGUUAGCAACACCCACAUUUUGAAGAAAGUGUUCUAUCAUCAUGGUUAACCUAAUUUCUUCUCUAGUUGGGUCAAAGGGCAUAUUUUUCUUCAAGCUGCUGUAAAGCUGUUCUAGAACAUUAAGCUACCAAAGCUAUUAUUUAAAGCUAGCUGGGCUAGUCGCAGAGAAGCUGCGCCUCCGGCCAGCCCACCCACCUGCCACCGCCUUCUUCCCUUGCCGCCUUUCUUUCUCUCCCCCCGCCCACCCAGCCACCUGCACCACUUUCUGGCUGGCUGGCCAGCUUCUUCUCCCGCCUGCCCCUUUCUGGCUGGCCAGCCGCUGGCUUCUUCUUGGUGGCCCGCCCACACAGCUUGCUGGCUGGCCGGCUUCUUCUACCACCCGCGCACCGCUUUCUGGCUGGCCAUCAGCCGCCGUUUUCUUCGACUAGCUGGCUGCCGCCGCCACCAUUUUCUCCCCCACCCCACCCAUCCCGUGGCUAUCUGGCAGUUCUCCGAACUCUUACGAGAGCAGCCACACAUGGGAUUAGCCACGGGUAUGCAUUAGCGAAUUAUAUAUAAAGAUGUUAACCAUAUGAGGACACAGAUUAUAGUGGCAUUUCUUUAAAUCAAUACUUAAGUGGAAUUACCUCCAGUGACUUGUCUUUAUGUAGUAUCUUCAAAACAACAUCCAAUAUAUUGAGCUUGUUCAUUACCACAGCAUCAAAGAGAGCAUUCAAACCCUAAAGAGACGAGUGUAAAUAUAAAUAGAGAAAGAAUGAAAAGGGGCAAGGAUGAGAGAGGGCCAUAUUUCUCUCUUUAAAAAAAUAAAAUAUAUAUUCUACAUUGUGCAUUUCAAUCUGCGAAAGCAAGGAGGCAGAGUUCUAUUAUUCCUUACACAACUCUGUCCAAAUGACUUCACUAUAACUGCUGUGUUAGUAACUGUACACAGGAUUGUGGCUUAGGUUUGCAUGUCCCAUGCUGGGGCAGUGAGUAGCUGAAUCACUGCAGGGAGGCAAGUCUACAGCUGUUACAGAACACACACAAAAACCUGUGGCCGACAUUCUAAGAGCAUGCACGUGCUUCUAGCAAAAGCACAUGCUCACCCCAUCUCGAAAGCUUCUGGAGAAAGGGGAGAGCAGAGCAAAUAGUUGUGCUCUUGCACAACCAUGCCUGCACUUUGGAAAUUGGGAGGCUGGAAUCAACAGAUUGGCUGGAUACUUACUUUUUAGGACAGACAUGUUAUAUAAUAAUGAUUGGUCUUUAUCCACUCCCUGACCACAUAAGGCUAGUAACUGAUCCCUAAACAAGAGGGUGGUGCCCAAGCUGCUGCUUCCGUAUUGAGCUGCAAAGGCUCUGCCAUCCUGAGCAAAACGGAUAGGCCGGAGACAACUUGCUAUCAAAUGCAGAAAAUACAAAUGGUAUAAAUAAUAAUAUGAACAACUGACAGUUUGAUUCCCUUUAUGGGAUUAACAAAUUCUGUUGCCCAAGGUAAGCUACAUCACCUUGCCUAAAAACAGGGCCAGUUCUGGCUAAAGAACACAGCAUUCCUUAGAGCAGAAGUUUCCUUCCCUAUGAACUCUCCUAUGUGUUGACCAGCUUACACUCCUCUCUGUCCUCUAAGAGACAGAAGAAAAGCUUGGAAGGGGGAGGGACUCUUAAUGGAGCAAUGCCUUUGAGUUGGCAACAGUGGAUGAAGCAAGGCCAAGGAGUUUGGUACACCAAAUGGCUGGGUAGACUCUUUCUUUGUUGCAAGGAGUGUGUGUUGAGGACUCUUGCCGAAUAACACCAACUUCCUAAUCCUCACAGCCCUCAGGGACACAUUUUUGGCCAUCACAGUGGGCUUCGGCGGGUGGGGUGGGGGAGGGAAGAGUGAUGAAAAUCACCUCUCCCUUGUACUACCAGAGCAGUGUUAGCAACACCAGCACUUUGUUAGUCGGAUGUCAGCCAGAAUCUUUAUACUAACAGAAAUAAUUGGCAAUACCAAGGAAAUGCACAGGAAAAAGAGUCUUUGUAAUUUAAUCUCUUUUUUUGUUUAAAUGAUUUGCUGUGCCUUCCUGUGACAUGGGAGAAGGAAGUAUAAUACAUGUUGCGGCAAACACUAUAAAAUGACAGCAUGGAAGACUGAAGUUUUGAACUUGUACAACACCAUGUAAUUCCUGCUACAGCUGAUCUCAAAAUGGCUGCAUUUUUUAAAAUGCACAGGCCUACUAGAAGCAAAGAAAGAGGACAAAGAAGGAGGACACACAAGCUUGUCAGGAAUUGUUUUGUUUAAUAUAAGAGUUUGUCACCAUUUUCUAAGAGAAGACUACGUGAUGAGCACAGCCAAAGGAAAGACAUAUUUUGCCAUCUGAAGAGGUUUUAGUCAACGUUGAAUUAGUGUUCAGCAAAAUAAGAAACGGUCACGCUUUAACAGGUAUAAGAAAUCUUACCAGUAUCGUAAUUCCUUGUUCUUUGCACAGCAUGGCCAGAGCACCCAGGAAAACACUCAGCAAGACCCAGGCUGUAGAAAACUGUGUUCCUUCUUUAUCUGUCAGUUUAAAAGCAGGACAUAAAGGAAAUAAACCAAUGUCUCAUACCAGUUUUCUGAACUAACUUGAGACCAAUAUGAAGAAGAUUUAUCAUCCUAAUUUCUGUCUUUGCCAAUUAUUUUUGGAAUGUUUAGGGUGGAGAAAAAGUGGUCUGUUAUUUCUUUGUUGAAAUCUUGCAACUGGACAGAUUCACGUAGACAUUUUCAUUCUGUUAAUAAAUUACUGUCUAAUAUUAAUACACAAAAAAUUCCAUUAGAAAACUGAACAGUUCUGCAGCAGCGAGAACACAAUACCGACUUUUUAUAAAAUAAGGAUAUUUUGCUCAUUGCUUUCAUGAUCUACCAGAUAUUUCAAAGAGAUCUUUAUACACUAAAGCACGGCAAGUAAAACAAGCUGUUUGCCCAGUACCUAAUAGGGAUUUUCUAAAGCCUAUUCAUGCCACAUACUUUCCCUCCUUCACAUUAUAGUUUUAGAAAAAGGUUCUGUUUCAUUUGCUGUCUCAAAGCCCAAAUACCAUACAUUCUAUGCUCAGGUUUGGAUACCCAAGUACAACACACAUGGUUCUUUCAGCAAUUAUGAGGAGAAUAUUUAUGUAGAAUUCAACACUCUGACAAGACUAGGUGGGACGCUGGAGAUCUGUGAUAGGAUAUCCCAUCUCUUAAAAGCAGCCAUAAGGACCCUGAAUUGAGUCAAAAUUGUGGUACAGAAGGAACAGUUUUAAAUAUCUUUCCCAUCACAACCUGUUUCUCCUAAUAGGGCAAAUAUCAGUGGGGUUGAGAAUUACUGCAGGCGGAAACAAGAGGGAAAUGGGUUAACCCCUCCUGUGCCCUGCACUGUAGUCCCGAUCCAGUAUGCUGUCCCCUAGCUCUUGAUUUUUAUUUUUAUUUUUUAAGAUGGGACAUCUGAUAAUGGAACUCCAACAAUCUGUCACUCAGAAAUACCAAUCCUUUCCCAAUUGUGAGGCUCAUGUAUUUGUAGUCAAGUAUCAUGUAUAUGUAGUCAAGUAUCUGAUAAUGGAACUCCAACAAUCUGUCACUCAGAAGUACCAAUCCUUUCCCAAUUGUGAUGCUCAUGUAUUUGUAGUCAAGUAUCAUGCUAGCAUAAAAACAUACAGGAAGAAUCAUCCAAGGAAAGGAUUGGGGAUCUACAUGGAAAUAAUCUGUACUGCUAUUGCUUCCUUAAAACACUAACUUCAGGCUAUGUUAAUACUGUUAUCGUGCAUAAAAUCACAAAGCCUUUCUUUUUGUCAGUGCUAAAACCACCUCAAGAUUCUCACCAUCUAUGUCAAUGGCUGUAAUUGAUAUAGGAAGAAGAAGACACAAGAUGACCCUGAAUCAUGCAGAGAACUGUAUUCAAUGAUAGUGGUGGCAGAGUAAAGCAGGAAUUGAGCAGGGAACUGCCAGAUAACAUCUACAGGGAUAUCAUCUGGUAGAUAUAGUGCCUCAAUUAGAAUCCCUUCAGUUCAUCCUAAAUAGUAGCUCCUUGAGAGAGUAGAUCACAAAAAGGAACCACAUUUCUCCUUCAAAACUAGCGUUCCUGUUUUUAGCAGCUCCUCCUGCAAUAUAAACCAGCGUUUAAUGGGCACACCAAGGGAACUUUAUUUGUUUACGGCCAGCUCUUGAGAGAACAAGAGCAUUUUUGUUUUGCAUUUUUAAAAAAUGCUUUGUGUGCGCACAUUCUUCAGUAUUGCCUCCAGUGCCGGCAUCAUUCAAACCAGGCACCAUGAAAACUGAAUAUAUGUUACAGCACCAUCAAAUAAUCAAUUUAGUUUUUGAAUUUCAAUCAAUUAGCUUCAAAAAUGUAAAUCAACAAGUAAGUGCCAAUUAUUACUACAAAGAUACAUGUACGCCAAAUAUGUUAAUCACUUUAACGAAGCACACUCUCAGCAACUAUGCUGCUUCCCACCACGAUCUCCUGUCAGAGAAUGGAACUCAUUUUUGGUUGGCACCUCAAUCUAGUUUAAACUGGGACACCAUAUUGUGGAAAGGCAGUCUGCCACCCUCACCAGAUGGUCAAAAGUUUAAUGUAUGCCAAAGAUUUUCAGCAAGCAUUUUAUUCCUGUUCCAAAAGCUAUAUGCCCACAAGUGUUUGUCAUUUUAUAUAAAAUAAUCUAGUUUACAGAAUGAGAUUAAAUUUGCAGUGUGAGCCUAUGCAACUCAUAUAUUUAUUUUAUGGUCCAUAGAAAUCAUUGUAGAAGAGAAAUGUGGGUUGCAGGCUUGGCUGAACAUCCAUUCCUAAAAACCUCUUCCUAUCUGGGAUCAAUUUAAUCCAGGUUCCUCUAAAAAUUAACAGGCUGUUUUGAUUUUAAAAGAGAAUACAUGUAAGAGGAGAGAAGUCUCUUGAUUUUUAUCCAGAAUCUGGUGGAAAUUUUAAAUGUUGUUGAUCCACUAGAAAACAGCGACCACAGCACUAUCAGUUUUGAGAAAUAUGAAGUAGAGAAUAAAAGCAGCAAAUGCCCAGAAAUCCUACAGAGGCUCUAGAGUCCCUUCAAGAGGUUCAGAGGACAUUUGAAAUAUAAAGAAGUCCACAUAGAAUGAAUACUAGUAGAGAUUAAAUGAGUCCAAAAGGGUGCUAGGAUAGUUAGGGUUAAAUGUUUAAAGAACUAAAGAUGUAAUCCUAUGUAACAGUGUAACUGAAUGCAUGUUUACUCAGAAAUAAGUUGCGCUGUAUUCAUUGGGAUUUACUCCCUAGUAAGUGCAUUUAGGGUUGCAAUCUAAAGUAUAAAAAGUGAACUGCCUUAUUUUUUUUAGCUGCCAGGCAAAGUCCAUGCGGAUAACUCAUUAAUUACUUUAAUAGUAAUUAGGAUCCUUCUAUUCCAUGUUACAAGCAAACCUUACUAUUCGUGGUUCUGCGUUCUGGUAACUGACACCUGACCUCAGCAUUUCUGGGUGGGUGUUUUGUUUUGUUUUAAUGGUUAAUUUCACGUUUUUCCAGCCACCAUUUUUAGAAAAGGAGCCAUUUUGUGGCUCAUUUUUAAAGGGGAAAUACCCACAUUUUCCCCAUGAUUUUUUGCAGAAAAAUUGGGGACUUGGGAGGUGGGCAUUCCUGGACAGCUGGAGACCCAUGGACCAUGGCAGGGCACUUUCCCCUCUUUUUGGGAGGACGUUUUCACCAAUUUUUGCCAUUUUCCCAGCCUCCAGAAACCUAACCCCAUUCCCAUUCCCUUAAUGCCAUUAUCCUUGAUUCCAUAAUCUGUACUUCUAGCAGAGAGCAGAACCCCCGUGGAUAAUGGGGUUCACCUGCAUUUUUGUUUAAUUGUAGCUGUCAUUUUAUUAUUGUAAUUAUUUUAUCUUUUCAUCAUUCCUACUUUUACUGUAUUGCUGUAUUAUUUGUUUCUUUAUAUUUCUGUACCUCCAAGAACAAGUAUUUUAUGGGUUACAAAAAUAAUAAAAACAAUAAAGUCACAGUUAAAACCAA
Hemicordylus capensis (graceful crag lizard) is the source of this 9196-nucleotide long non-coding RNA. RefSeq lists it as uncharacterized. The record is from RefSeq and is a predicted model, not a curated record. NCBI's taxonomy places the organism in Eukaryota, Metazoa, Chordata, Lepidosauria, Squamata, Cordylidae. The transcript has 2 exons.